Molecule: ribosomal RNA, 527 nt
Filed under: Rhipicephalus microplus (southern cattle tick)
Lineage: Eukaryota; Metazoa; Arthropoda; Arachnida; Ixodida; Ixodidae
Description: SSU rRNA
Rfam family: Eukaryotic small subunit ribosomal RNA
Source: RNAcentral
CGUCUAGUACAUGCCGAAAUAAGGCGAAACCGCGAAUGGCUCAUUAAAUCAGUUAUGGUUCCUUAGAUCGUUUCUUCCUACUUGGAUAACUGUGGCAAUUCUAGAGCUAAUACAUGCAGUGAGCCUGGAGCCCUUUGGGUAACGGGUGCUUUUAUUAGACCAAGAUCGAUCGGGUUUCGGCCCGUAUUGUGUGGUGACUCUGGAUAACUUUGUGCUGAUCGCAUGGCCACGAGCCGGCGACGUUUCUUUCAAGUGUCUGCCUUAUCAACUUUCGAUGGUAGGUUACUUGCUUACCAUGGUUGUUACGGGUAACGGAGAAUCAGGGUUCGAUUCCGGAGAGGGAGCCUGAGAAACGGCUACCACAUCCAAGGAAGGCAGCAGGCGCGCAAAUUACCCACUCCCGGCACGGGGAGGUAGUGACGAAAAAUAACAAUACGGGACUCUUUUGAGGCCCCGUAAUUGAAAUGAGUACACUCUAAAUCCUUUAACGAGGAUCAAUUGGAGGGCAAGUCUGUCCCCAGCAGCCA